CUGGGACUGAUUGUCUUCAAGCUGAGCACACACUGAGCACUGGGCCUGCCUUCUUCCUAACACAGGUUUUUGUAAGCUCCAGACAUUGGAUAAAGCAUUUUGAGGGAUAGGUGAAAACGAAAUCCUGCCCUUUACUCUUGAGAACUCACUCUGCUGUGGGAGGAGAGACAGGCAGGAAUCUGCAUCUAGCAAGCCUUCCAGAGGAUUCUGCUAGUGCUUCGGUUUGAGAACCAGUGCUCCUGACUUUGGUUGGCCAUUGGUGUCUGUCUGAAGAGGGUCUCCACUGCCCCAGGCAUGUUCCUUCUCUCACUGCUGCCCCCUGGGAUGGAAACUCGACAUCCCCUCUUUCCCUUCCUACUGGCACCAACGGUACCAGAGCAAACCCCACAAUCUCCAUGCCUACAUUUCUUUGACAUCCACCUGUCACCAUCUUUGGAGGAUUCAAGUGAAGUUCUUUGUCUUUUAUGGGACAGAGCUGUUUUCUAAAGUCAUAGUAACAUUCUCGGUCAAUGUAAGAUAAAAUGACUGGGAAUUUCACUUUUAAAAAUAGGUAUAUCAAAGGGAAAAAUAGUAACAGUUCUGGUGGAGAGACCUGGUGAGCAACACCUUAAACCAAGUGAUGAAAGCUGAAAUCAGCAACACUGGGAUGAACCUGCAUCACGUAAUAGCGGAUGUGAUGCCCUGACAAGAGCACCAGUCCUGUUUGCAGCAUCACUGCCCCAGAUGCAUGCCUGAAUCUGUUCCUUAGGAUACAUCAGGAAACCCAAGCUGAGGAAUGUUCUACUAAAUAAAUGAUCUCUACUCUUCAAAAACAUGCGGGUCAAGUGACAGGUGCCGAGGAGAGGGAGAGGGUCUAGGAAGACCCUAGUUGGGACAAUUGGCAGCAUUCAAAUGUGGCCUGUGCAUUUCAUACUGGUACUGUUCAAUGUGAAAUUUCUUGAUUUUUGUAAGAUUCUCCCUGGGGCCUGAUAGCUUAAAGGGAUGAGUAACUCCUCCCUUCUCAGGCCCAGUCCCAAGGUGCAAGACCACUUGCAUCAGCAGCCUGUGCCAGCAAGAUAGCAGAAGCAGGAAGAGAGCCGGCCAGAAGACACGUACCCCUGAAGAUUGAGAAACAGGCCAUCCGGGUACAACGUAGCAAUUACGUCAGACUAGGACACUUCCUGUUUAAAGGAGACUAUAAAACCUUUGUCCUGUCCUCACUUGGGGCUGACGCCAUUUUAGGCCUCAGCCCGCCUGCACCCAGGCGCUCAUUAAAACAGCAUGUUGCUCCACAUCGCCUCGUGUUGUCUGUUGGCACGCUCUCGGGAUUCGAACCGAUACAAGAACCUUACAAUUUUCUUUAUGUAAGAGAAUGUCCUUGUUCUUAAGAAAAGCCAGCUGAAAUAUUUAGAGAGUAAGUUUGCAGGAUGUCUAUAACUUACUGUCAAGUGUUUUAGACAGGAAGAGAAUCACAUAAUGGAAAAUGUAAACAAGUGAAUGUGAGAAAGGAGUACAUGAAAGUCUUUGAACUAUUGUUACAACUUUUC
This 1526-nucleotide long non-coding RNA is filed under the name Homo sapiens (human). Its description in RNAcentral is "HSALNT0400119". The record is from RNAcentral. Lineage: Eukaryota; Metazoa; Chordata; Mammalia; Primates; Hominidae.